This is a long non-coding RNA of Pararge aegeria (speckled wood butterfly), 946 nucleotides long. RefSeq lists it as uncharacterized. The record is from RefSeq and is a predicted model, not a curated record. Lineage: Eukaryota; Metazoa; Arthropoda; Insecta; Lepidoptera; Nymphalidae. The transcript is spliced from 3 exons.
UGUCGGACGCUCGGCUUCGCAGUCGCCGACUUUAGUAUUCUUCGUUUAUUUUCUUUUCUAUUCGUUUAAUUUGUCGCUCGGACCCGUAACAUUAAAAGUGAGAAGUAACGACGCAACCUAGUGAGUUUUGAUGUUAUUUAGAUCGUGUUUGUUUUGACAGUGUCACGUGCGGAAUUGAAUUGUUACCGGUUCCGUAGUUUACAAGUGUUUAUAACGCAUACGGCCUUCAGUUGCCGCAGGUAGAGCCGGCGAGUCGUCAAAAAAGUGCGUCAAGUUUGUUGGGAUCCCAAAGUUACACUGGAAUUGUUGUGGGAACGAAACAUAUCGGUGCUUUCCAGGAGGUAAAGUGCCUUGCGCUGGAUAAAAGUUCACGCGGAUUGCCUCCAAUUGGAUUCUUCUCGGAAACUUUGGAAGUGCGUUGAGUGAAGUAAAGUCUGUGUCUAAAACUUACAACAUAACCUUAUUCGAAAAAGGCGCGUGUUUCGCGGGCAUGCGCAGUGGAACCCUUCGCAGUUAUUAACAAGUGGAUCGUAAUAUUAUAAACAAACGCGAAACGUGUUGUGUUGUGCCGGUUCCUAGUGCAUUCUGAAUAUCUUGUGCACGAGUUUAACCAGUGGAUUGUUAACUGCGACAUCCUUUAUCUUCACCUUUGGGAAUUCGAAUUUUGAAUUCUGAAAAGUUCAACUGUUGGAUCAAGCGAUCUUACCUGCGCGCGCAGUAAAUUUUCUUCUCAGGUUGGCGCAACUAUGAUGUCCUGUCCUCUACCCUUGCCGCUUCUGCCGGCCCUUCACCCUCAGCCUGCUCUGGCAUCUGACUUUCCUAUCCACAUCGGGAUUAAGGGCCCGCUAUUUUCCUGAACUACGCACGAGGAGAAUAAAAUAGACUUAAAGUUUAAAUAAGUGAAUUAAAUAUCGCUUGGCGUAAAGUGCCGGUUUGGCGUCGCACC